CGCGCCGCGCCGCACGGAGGGGCCGCGGGCAGCUCCGGCACCGGCAGCGCCGACAGCCCACCGGCAAACACCCGCCCGCCGGAGCGGGCAUGGAAUAUACAAAAACACAAAGGAAAAGUGGCUGCUGGACUGUUCUGGGGGCAAAAUGCUGGAAGUUUUGGCUGAAUUAAGUGAAGGCGAAGCGUGGUUUGGAAGUCCACUGACUGACAUUGUUCCGGACCGGGGGAUCUCUCUGAUUUUUAGAGGAACUACAGUUUAGCGGCAGCCAGCCGGACACAGUCACCACGCCGCAGAGUGGCCAGCAACGAGCGGGCGAGAGAAAUGAGAAAGCACAAAGACUGAACUAACCCGACCCUCCUCUUUCUCCUCCUUCCCCGGCUCUUUAUUUGCACAUUUACUUAAGACUUAAAAGAAAAAAAAAAAAAAAGAAAAAGAAAAAAAAAAAAAAAAGAGAGAGAGAGAAACCCCAACAAACCCACUCCAGAUAACCUACGAGAUUUUCGGUCCGCCGGGGGUUUCUCCACGUCGCCGACCACGGCAAUGCCUUAAAUUUUCACUUCAAGGAAUAACACCCCCCGCUCCCCCGAAAUAAAAUAAACCCAAUAAACCUGCCAAGUCUCACUCAUU
Molecule: long non-coding RNA, 627 nt
Organism: Serinus canaria (Common canary)
Lineage: Eukaryota; Metazoa; Chordata; Aves; Passeriformes; Fringillidae
Exons: 2
Source: RefSeq, a predicted model, not a curated record